UCGGAGAGGCGGGGUGGUAGAGAGGCUGACCGCUCUGCGCCUCCAUUCAUCGAAUUUAAUUCAUUAUUUAGAGUAAUUUGAGAUGCUCCUUUGAUAGUAGAUCAUGCAUGGUCAGAGGGAACAGGUAUAAGGAAGGGGAUGAUUGCAUUAAAAAAGAAUAAAUGUAAUAGCGCUUGGUAUAAUGAGAACAACAGCAAUGUUUUCAUGAAAACUCGCUUUUAUUACUGUCACUAGUUUACUUGAUGAGAUGUCCUUUCCAUUUUCUCUGUUAAACAAUUGCUAUUUCAGAUUAUCAGUCAACAUUUAAUAAAUGUGGCUGAAUUAAAAUGAUUCUGAAAAGAAAAGCAACCCCAAAUAGCAGCUGCUGAGGCCAGGAGUGGCAUAACCAUUUGUAAGUUUCAAGAUCAAUGACUGUUUUGCAUGACAAGUUGGCUUGGGUACGUUUUUUCUCUUUUUUUUUUAAGAUUGUGCCCCCUGCUGGCGCAGUGUGGCCUGGUAAUUGCUGACUCUUCUAUUAAUGUACCGGAAAGGCAGAUAUCCAAUGAUCACAUGAAGGUUUGGGGUCUUGGGUUUGUUUGAGGCUAAAACGGGUUUCUGCCACACCCACCAAGAGGCUCUUCUCAUCAGCGACAUCUGGGCCAAAAAGGUCAAAGAUUGAUUAGAGGUUUGGAUUUUUGUGUGCAUGUUAAGGUGUUUCAAUUAUGUCUUUGCUUCCAUUUGGACGUAUAAAUGGUGAAGUCAGAACCGCAGUGUGGGGUGGACAUGGCUUUAUCAAUCAAAUUUUUUUUUUUUCCUUUUGACACCAUGCAGUGUUUUGGCAGGUCACUCUGAACACACCACACUCAGCAGGAAUGUCUCUAAAGAUUAUUUUAAGAGCCAUUCCCAUAAUUAGAGCAUCCUUAACAUUGCCUGGAGGGCAAAAUCAGGGCAACGAUAAUGGUAUAAAAAUUUUGAAGUGUGACCUAGGCAUUAGGGAGAAAGUAAUUCAUCCCUCCAUUGUAGACAGAAAAUUCUCCUACUUCAAUUUUUCUUUCUAACACGAACUGCUUCCAUAACCUGUAGCAGAUUUCCCAUGGGAAAGAAUCCUGUCUUGGGACCCGUGUUAGAAUAUCAGUAAUCGCAAUAUGAAAACCAUGGUUGUUUCUGGAAUGAUGGCUUAAUUUAUCAUGGUUUUUUUUUUAUUUUUGUUUGAUCUGCGAGAGGGGUGGAAAAGCAAGAAAUGUAAUUAGUGAGGAAUAAAAAAACAGUGAAAUUGGUUUUAAGGGAUUUUCUUGUAGCAACAGAUGUGUAUCAUCUGUGUUCAGGAUUUACAUCAAGCCAUCCACAAGACAUUAAUUAAAAAUCCUUCGAACUCCUCUCUCCUUUCUCUGUGUGUGUGUGUGUGUGUGUGUGUGUGUGUCCUCCAGUUGUACCUUCCUCAUUGUGCUCGUCAUCCUUGCUCCCCUGCACAAAGACACAGCAGCUAGCUCCCCCACAGUCACCGUCUUUGUCACAUUCCUACAGCGUAUGUGUUGUUCAGACUACCUAGCCAUGUUCAGACAAUGUCAGCAGGACACAUGAGCCAAUGGCAGUGAUCCCCUGGGGACAGAUCGUAUCACCGAUAACAGCGUCAGUGGGGGAACAAUGGCUGCCUGCAGAACGUCUCCUCGCCUUAAUAAGGUUGAGGAUCUCUCCACCUCCACGUCGCACAUCAAUACCUCCAACAGGAGUCUUUUGCUGCUGGGAGAUAACAGGGGAGGACAAAGAAACCCUUGAGAAUGGCACAGGAAAAACCGGAACAAAGUCGAAAUAAUUAGGCGUAAAUGAGUUCGGCGCGGAGAGAAAUGAGCUGAAGACAGCUGCACAAAGCAAAUUAAUUUGAGUAGGCAAACUCUAAACUGAGGUGUCUAAAAAUAAAUCAGUCAUAAAGAUUAGGAAACUAUUGCUGGUUAAGGUGGGUUUAGUUUUAGGUUCACGGUGGUCAAAAAGCAAAGAAAACUACCACCAUGAGGGGUGAUGUUACCGGUUAGUAAAAAGAAAGAAAGAAAAAAAAGGUUUUUAUUAAAAUACAAAUUUUAAAAAAAUUAUUUUCAUCUGGUGGUGGAACUCUAAUGAAUUCCCUGCAAUGAAUCAAAAACCAUCUAUCGACAAUAUGAGCUAAAUUUUGUCUGUUUCAAUUAGAAAAAUCAUUUUUUCUGCUAAAUUCCAGAAAAGGUAAACAUAUGAGCUCAACAACAAAGAUAUUUAUUGUUUUUGAUAUGUUAUUUAUUUUAUUCAGCCAUCAGAUUGGUGCGCAAAGCUAUCACACCCGUUUAGAAACGUAUUCUGUGGACGCUGACGUUAGCAUCGGAGACGUCUGUGCUGCUGCUACAUAUUUAGCAUGGUUUAGCCAUCACUAUCUACACUAACUCUUUGCAGAAUUGAAAUGAAUAUGAAUUCCAACAACAUUUAAUUUCCCUUUGGGUUGGGAUCAAUAAAAUAUUUUUGAAUUGAAUUAGAAUUGAGUUGAGAUGCUAUUGUGGGCUUGAAUAGCUUCGCUAACAGGCUAACUCCUUUUAGCACAACUUGCAACAUUAGUCGUUUCCAGUCCCAGCAGAUUUGAAGCACAAGUUAAACCCCUGUGGGCCAAGAGAAGCGAUUUUGUCGACCUUCGAUGUCUCUUGUGUGUCAGAUUUACGGGCGUACCAGAAAUGCAGAAAUAUAAAGGUUCCAGGGUUGGGACUUUUGUAUAAAAAAGGGAUUAAUUGCAUUGAAGUGUUUAAUCGAAAUUAACGUGUUAAAGUCCUGGCUAAAGGUGGGCAAUAUGGGCUUACAAUUUCAUCAUCAUUUUUUGUAAGUACUAUUGUGGUGACAAUAAAAAUAAUGGUGUAAGUU
Molecule: long non-coding RNA, 2853 nt
Organism: Xiphophorus hellerii (green swordtail)
Lineage: Eukaryota; Metazoa; Chordata; Actinopteri; Cyprinodontiformes; Poeciliidae
Exons: 2
Source: RefSeq, a predicted model, not a curated record